ACCCCGGUAUUAUUGCUGUUAUGGGUUUAAAUCGAGCUUAGCCUUGUUCAUUUUUUUACACAACACCCCCGUAAAAAAUACAACACGGCCCGCUCAAGGCCGCGGCAGCCAAGCCCGGCGAAGGCACAAAAGCGCCCCAAAAAUGCCCCACAGGCGCUUUUUUAGGGCAA
Molecule: small RNA, 170 nt
Filed under: Pseudomonas sp. NFIX28
Lineage: Bacteria; Pseudomonadati; Pseudomonadota; Gammaproteobacteria; Pseudomonadales; Pseudomonadaceae
Description: Pseudomonas sRNA P1
Rfam family: Pseudomonas sRNA P1
About the family: There appears to be two related copies of P1 sRNA in the P.aeruginosa PA01 genome and both copies appear to be located upstream of predicted glutamine synthetase genes. This sRNA appears to be conserved amongst several Pseudomonas species.
Source: RNAcentral